GAUUAUGGCUCAGGAUGAACGCUGGCGGCGUGCCUAACACAUGCAAGUCGAACGAAGCUUGGGGAACGGAGAUUCGUCGAAGAGAACCAAGACUAGUGGCGGACGGGUGAGUAAUGUAUGAGCAACCUGCCUUUCAGAGGGGGACAACAGUUGGAAACGACUGCUAAUACCGCGUAACGUAUGACGGGGGCAUCCCUGACAUACCAAAGGAGCAAUCCGCUGAAAGAUGGGCUCAUAUCUGAUUAGCUUGUUGGCGGGGUAACGGCCCACCAAGGCGACGAUCAGUAGCCGGACUGAGAGGUUGAACGGCCACAUUGGGACUGAGAUACGGCCCAGACUCCUACGGGAGGCAGCAGUGGGGAAUAUUGGGCAAUGGGCGAAAGCCUCGACCCAGCAACGCCGCGUGAAGGAAGAAGGUCUUCGGAUUGUAAACUUCUUUUAUGAGGGACGAAGGACGUGACGGUACCUCAUGAAUAAGCCACGGCUAACUACGUGCCAGCAGCGGC
RNAcentral lists this ribosomal RNA (506 nucleotides) under uncultured bacterium. RNAcentral's name for it is "bacterial SSU rRNA". It matches the Rfam family "Bacterial small subunit ribosomal RNA", at positions 15 to 518 of the family's 1533-position model. The record is from RNAcentral.